This 253-nucleotide ribosomal RNA is filed under the name uncultured bacterium. RNAcentral describes it as "partial 16S ribosomal RNA". It matches the Rfam family "Bacterial small subunit ribosomal RNA", at positions 524 to 776 of the family's 1533-position model. The record is from RNAcentral.
UACGUAGGGGGCAAGCGUUGUCCGGAAUCAUUGGGCGUAAAGCGCGUGUAGGCGGCUUGGUAAGUCCGCUCUGAAAGCCCGGGGCUCAACCCCGGGAGGCGGGUGGAUACUGUCAAGCUCGAGUCCGGAAGAGGCGAGUGGAAUUCCUGGUGUAGCGGUGAAAUGCGCAGAUAUCAGGAGGAGCACCAAUGGCGAAGGCAGCUCGCUGGGACGUGACUGACGCUGAGACGCGAAAGCGUGGGGAGCAAACAGG